RNAcentral lists this ribosomal RNA (478 nucleotides) under Streptococcus mitis. Its description in RNAcentral is "bacterial SSU rRNA". It matches the Rfam family "Bacterial small subunit ribosomal RNA", at positions 28 to 489 of the family's 1533-position model. The record is from RNAcentral. Lineage: Bacteria; Bacillati; Bacillota; Bacilli; Lactobacillales; Streptococcaceae.
GACGAACGCUGGCGGCGUGCCUAAUACAUGCAAGUAGAACGCUGAAGGAGGAGCUUGCUUCUCUGGAUGAGUUGCGAACGGGUGAGUAACGCGUAGGUAACCUGCCUGGUAGCGGGGGAUAACUAUUGGAAACGAUAGCUAAUACCGCAUAAGAGUAGAUGUUGCAUGACAUUUGCUUAAAAGGUGCAAUUGCAUCACUACCAGAUGGACCUGCGUUGUAUUAGCUAGUUGGUGAGGUAACGGCUCACCAAGGCAACGAUACAUAGCCGACCUGAGAGGGUGAUCGGCCACACUGGGACUGAGACACGGCCCAGACUCCUACGGGAGGCAGCAGUAGGGAAUCUUCGGCAAUGGACGGAAGUCUGACCGAGCAACGCCGCGUGAGUGAAGAAGGUUUUCGGAUCGUAAAGCUCUGUUGUAAGAGAAGAACGAGUGUGAGAGUGGAAAGUUUCACACUGUGACGGUAUCUACCAGAAAA